UGCAAGUCGAACGAACCUUCGGGUUAGUGGCGGACGGGUGAGUAACGCGUGAGAAUCUGCCCUCAGGAGGGGGAUAACAGUUGGAAACGACUGCUAAUACCCCAUAUGCCGAGAGGUGAAACGAAUUUCGCCUGGGGAUGAGCUCGCGUCUGAUUAGCCUGUUGGUGGGGUAAUGGCCUACCAAGGCUUUGAUCAGUAGCUGGUCUGAGAGGACGAUCAGCCACACUGGGACUGAGACACGGCCCAGACUCCUACGGGAGGCAGCAGUGGGGAAUUUUCCGCAAUGGGCGAAAGCCUGACGGAGCAACGCCGCGUGAGGGAUGAAGGCCUUUGGGCUGUAAACCUCUUUUCUCAAGGAAGAAGAUCUGACGGUACUUGAGGAAUAAGCCACGGCUAAUUCCGUGCCAGCAGCCGCGGUAAUACGGGAGUGGCAAGCGUUAUCCGGAAUUAUUGGGCGUAAAGCGUCCGCAGGCGGCCGUUUAAGUCUGUUGUUAAAUUGUGGAGCUCAACUCCAUCACGGCAAUGGAAACUGUUCGGCUUGAGUAUGGUAGGGGCAGAGGGAAUUUCUGGUGUAGCGGUGAUAUGCGUAGAUAUCGGGAAGAACACCUGUGGCGAAAGCGCUCUGCUGGGCCAUUACUGACGCUCAUGGACGAAAGCCAGGGGAGCGAAAUGGAUUAGAUACCCAUGUAGUCCUGGCCGUAAACGAUGAACACUAGAUGUUGGGGGAAUCGACCCCCUCAGUGUCGUAGCUAACGCGUUAAGUGUUCCGCCUGGGGAGUACGCACGCAAGUGUGAAACUCAAAGGAAUUGACGGGG
Molecule: ribosomal RNA, 816 nt
Filed under: uncultured bacterium
Lineage: Bacteria
Description: bacterial SSU rRNA
Rfam family: Bacterial small subunit ribosomal RNA
Source: RNAcentral